This 923-nucleotide ribosomal RNA is filed under the name uncultured Massilia sp. Its description in RNAcentral is "bacterial SSU rRNA". It matches the Rfam family "Bacterial small subunit ribosomal RNA", at positions 590 to 1533 of the family's 1533-position model. The record is from RNAcentral. Lineage: Bacteria; Pseudomonadati; Pseudomonadota; Betaproteobacteria; Burkholderiales; Oxalobacteraceae.
AGGUGCCUUUUUAUUUUUUGAGGAAUUGGCAUUGGAGACUGCAAGGCUGGAGUCUGGCUUUAGGGGGGUAGAAUUCCACGUGUAGCAGUGAAAUGCGUAGAGAUGUGGAGGAACACCGAUGGCGAAGGCAGCCCCCUGGGUCAAGACUGACGCUCAUGCACGAAAGCGUGGGGAGCAAACAGGAUUAGAUACCCUGGUAGUCCACGCCCUAAACGAUGUCUACUAGUUGUCGGGUCUUAAUUGACUUGGUAACGCAGCUAACGCGUGAAGUAGACCGCCUGGGGAGUACGGUCGCAAGAUUAAAACUCAAAGGAAUUGACGGGGACCCGCACAAGCGGUGGAUGAUGUGGAUUAAUUCGAUGCAACGCGAAAAACCUUACCUACCCUUGACAUGUCAGGAACCUCCGAGAGAUUGGAGGGUGCCCGAAAGGGAACCUGAACACAGGUGCUGCAUGGCUGUCGUCAGCUCGUGUCGUGAGAUGUUGGGUUAAGUCCCGCAACGAGCGCAACCCUUGUCAUUAGUUGCUACAUUCAGUUGAGCACUCUAAUGAGACUGCCGGUGACAAACCGGAGGAAGGUGGGGAUGACGUCAAGUCCUCAUGGCCCUUUAUGGGUAGGGCUUCACACGUCAUACAAUGGUACAUACAGAGGGCCGCCAACCCGCGAGGGGGAGCUAAUCCCAGAAAGUGUAUCGUAGUCCGGAUCGCAGUCUGCACUCGACUGCGUGAAAGUUUGGAAUCGCUAGUAAUCGCGGAAUCAGCAUGCCGCGAUGAUUACGUUUCCCGGUCUUGUUAAACAACGCCCGUCACACCAUGGGAAGCGGUUUACCAGAAGUAGGUAAGCUUUACCGCAAGGAGGCGCUUACACGGUUAGGAUCCUGAACUGGGGUGAAGUCGUAAACCAGUACGCCGGUAAAUAUCUAG